This 241-nucleotide ribosomal RNA is filed under the name Connochaetes gnou (black wildebeest). Its description in RNAcentral is "partial 12S ribosomal RNA". Lineage: Eukaryota; Metazoa; Chordata; Mammalia; Artiodactyla; Bovidae. The record is from RNAcentral.
CGGCCACAGCCCAAAACUCAAAGGACUUGGCGGUGCUUUAUACCCUUCUAGAGGAGCCUGUUCUAUAAUCGAUAAACCCCGAUAAACCUCACCAAUCCUUGCUAAUACAGUCUAUAUACCGCCAUCUUCAGCAAACCCUAAAAAGGAAUAAAAGUAAGCACAACCAUAGCACAUAAAAACGUUAGGUCAAGGUGUAACCUAUGGAGUGGGAAGAAAUGGGCUACAUUUUCUAUCUUAAGAA